RNAcentral lists this ribosomal RNA (484 nucleotides) under uncultured bacterium. RNAcentral describes it as "bacterial SSU rRNA". It matches the Rfam family "Bacterial small subunit ribosomal RNA", at positions 30 to 507 of the family's 1533-position model. The record is from RNAcentral.
AUUGAACGCUGGCGGAAUGCUUUACACAUGCAAGUCGAACGGUAGAGGGGGCAACCUCUCGAGAGUGGCGAACGGGUGAGUAAUAUAUCGGAACGUGCCCAGUCGUGGGGGAUAACGUAGCGAAAGUUACGCUAAUACCGCAUACGAUCUACGGAUGAAAGCGGGGGACUCGCAAGAGCCUCGCGCGAUUGGAGCGGCCGAUAUCAGAUUAGGUAGUUGGUGGGGGUAAAAGGCUCACCAAGCCAACGAUCUGUAGCUGGUCUGAGAGGACGACCAGCCACACUGGAACUGAGACACGGUCCAGACUCCUACGGGAGGCAGCAGUGGGGAAUUUUGGACAAUGGACGCAAGUCUGAUCCAGCCAUUCCGCGUGCAGGAUGAAGGCCCUCGGGUUGUAAACUGCUUUUGUACGGAACGAAAAGGUUUCCAUUAAUACUGGGAGCUCAUGACGGUACCGUAAGAAUAAGCACCGGCUAACUACGUG